Molecule: ribosomal RNA, 260 nt
Filed under: uncultured Lactobacillus sp.
Lineage: Bacteria; Bacillati; Bacillota; Bacilli; Lactobacillales; Lactobacillaceae
Description: partial 16S ribosomal RNA
Rfam family: Bacterial small subunit ribosomal RNA
Source: RNAcentral
CGAUGAUGCAUAGCCCGAGUUGAGAGACUGAUCGGCCACAUUGGGACUGAGACACGGCCCAAACUCCUACGGGGAGGCAGCAGUAGGGAAUCUUCCACAUGGACGAAAGUCUGAUGGAGCAACGCUGCGUGAGUGAAGAAGGUUUUCGGAUCGUAAAAGCUCUGUUGUUGGUGAAGAAGGAUAGAGGUAGUAACUGGCCUUUAUUUGACGGUAAUCAACCAGAAAGUCACGGCUAACUACGUGCCAGCAGCCGCGGUAAU